CCACAUGUUAUCAGCAUUCCUCUGUGAGAAACACCUGGGAGUACGCCAAUCAAAACUGUGCAAGCCAAGGAUCUCAUCUGGUGAUCUUCAAUGAUGAAGCAGAGGAGAGGACUGUGCGUAGUUUUGGACCAGCUGCCAAAGUGUGGAUGGGUUUGAGUGGUUACAAAGAUCCGUGCACCAACUCAUGGACGUGGACAUGGGUGGAUGGAGGCGCACUGUCUUAUGAAAACUGGAAUAAUCAGAACCCCAAUGAUUGGAGGUAUCAGACUUGGGCUUGUGCAUAUGUUGACCAAGGCUCGCGGCCCUUGAGGACCUGGUUCCUGGGGAUAUGUGAAGAACAGCACUACUGGGUGUGUGAGAAGAAGCUGCACACCUGAGCUGCUGGCCUGAAUAAGACUCGCACAACAAACCCAUCUGUCUCUGUGUCUCUAUAACUCACACAGACACCUUUUAUUCAAUUUAGCGCUCCUCAUCUGAACAUAAUGUCAUGAUCACUGUGUGCUUUUUAUUAUGUUAAAAACAUUUAAAUCUUUUAUUCUGUGGUUAUCGUUAUGGUGAUGUGAACACUUUGAACUCUUGAGUGGAAAUGGUCCUCCAGUGCCAACUUUGGUAUUGUUGCUUAUUGUGAUGUCAUUUCCUGGAGUACCUUUG
Long non-coding RNA from Epinephelus moara (kelp grouper), 651 nucleotides. RefSeq lists it as uncharacterized. The record is from RefSeq and is a predicted model, not a curated record. The transcript is spliced from 3 exons. NCBI's taxonomy places the organism in Eukaryota, Metazoa, Chordata, Actinopteri, Perciformes, Serranidae.